This 497-nucleotide ribosomal RNA is filed under the name uncultured bacterium. Its description in RNAcentral is "partial 16S ribosomal RNA". It matches the Rfam family "Bacterial small subunit ribosomal RNA", at positions 28 to 507 of the family's 1533-position model. The record is from RNAcentral.
GAUGAACGCUGGCGGCGUGCCUAAUACAUGCAAGUCGAGCGAACAGACGAGGAGCUUGCUCCUCUGACGUUAGCGGCGGACGGGUGAGUAACACGUGGAUAACCUACCUAUCAGACUGGGAUAACUUCGGGAAACCGGCUCUAAUACCGGAGAAUAUAUUGAACCGCGUGGUUCAAUAGUGAAAGACGGUUUUGCUGUCUCUUCUAGCUGGAUCCGCGCCGCAUUAGCUGGUUGGGAGGGUAACGGGUUUCCAAGGCAACGAGGCGUAGACGACCGGAGAGGGUGAUCGCCCACAUGGGAGCGUAGACGGGCACCAUACUCCUGCGGUAGGCAGCAGUAGGGAAUCUUCCGCAACAGUCGAGAGCUUUACGGAGCAACGCGGCGUGAGUUAUGAAGGUCUUCGGAGCGUAAAGCUCGGUUAUGAGUGAAGAACCAAUGUGUAAGGAAAUAUGCACUUCUUGACGGUACUUAGUCAGAAAGCCACGGCUAACUACGUG